CUACGGGACGCUCCAGUGAGGAAUAUUGCACAAUGGGGGGAACCCUGAUGCAGCAACGCCGCGUGGAGGAUGACGCAUUUCGGUGUGUAAACUCCUUUUAUAUGUCAAGAAAAUGACGGUAGCAUAUGAAUAAGCACCGGCUAACUCCGUGCCAGCAGCCGCGGUAAUACGGAGGGGGCAAGCGUUACUCGGAAUCACUGGGCGUAAAGGACGCGUAGGCGGGUUGGAAAGUCAGGUGUGAAAUCCUACAGCUUAACUGUAGAACUGCACUUGAAACUUCUAAGCUAGAGUAUGGGAGGGGAGAUGGAAUUAGUGGUGUAGGGGUAAAAUCCGUAGAUAUCACUAGGAAUACCUAAAGCGAAGGCGAUCUCCUGGAACAUUACUGACGCUAAGGCGUGAAAACGUGGGGAGCAAGCAGGAUUAGAUACCCGCGUAGUC
Molecule: ribosomal RNA, 438 nt
Filed under: uncultured bacterium
Lineage: Bacteria
Description: partial 16S ribosomal RNA
Rfam family: Bacterial small subunit ribosomal RNA
Source: RNAcentral